Molecule: ribosomal RNA, 428 nt
Filed under: Mesorhizobium loti
Lineage: Bacteria; Pseudomonadati; Pseudomonadota; Alphaproteobacteria; Hyphomicrobiales; Phyllobacteriaceae
Description: bacterial SSU rRNA
Rfam family: Bacterial small subunit ribosomal RNA
Source: RNAcentral
AACGAACGCUGGCGGCAGGCUUAACACAUGCAAGUCGAGCGCGUAGCAAUACGAGCGGCAGACGGGUGAGUAACGCGUGGGAAUCUACCCAUCUCUACGGAACAACUCCGGGAAACUGGAGCUAAUACCGUAUACGUCCUUUUGGAGAAAGAUUUAUCGGAGAUGGAUGAGCCCGCGUUGGAUUAGCUAGUUGGUGGGGUAAUGGCCUACCAAGGCGACGAUCCAUAGCUGGUCUGAGAGGAUGAUCAGCCACACUGGGACUGAGACACGGCCCAGACUCCUACGGGAGGCAGCAGUGGGGAAUAUUGGACAAUGGGCGCAAGCCUGAUCCAGCCAUGCCGCGUGAGUGAUGAAGGCCCUAGGGUUGUAAAGCUCUUUCAACGGUGAAGAUAAUGACGGUAACCGUAGAAGAAGCCCCGCUAACUUCC